CAGUCGAACGGACUUAUACUGAAACCUAGUGAUUUAUGAGUUAGUGGCGGACGGGUGAGUAACGCGUGGAUAACCUGCCGUAUACCGGGGGAUAACACUUAGAAAUAGGUGCUAAUACCGCAUAAGCGCACGGCUCCGCAUGGGGCAGUGUGAAAAACUCCGGUGGUAUACGAUGGAUCCGCGUCUGAUUAGCUAGUUGGCGGGGUAACGGCUCACCAAGGCAGCGAUCAGUAGCCGGCCUGAGAGGGUGGACGGCCACAUUGGGACUGAGACACGGCCCAAACUCCUACGGGAGGCAGCAGUGGGGAAUAUUGCACAAUGGGGGAAACCCUGAUGCAGCGACGCCGCGUGAGUGAAGAAGUAUCUCGGUACGUAAAGCUCUAUCAGCAGGGAAGAUAAUGACGGUACCUGACCAAGAAGCCCCGGCUAACUACGUGCCAGCAGCCGCGGUAAUACGUAGGGGGCAAGCGUUAUCCGGAUUUACUGGGUGUAAAGGGAGCGUAGACGGCAGCACAAGUCUGGAGUGAAAUCCCGGGGCUUAACCCCGGAACUGCUUUGGAAACUGUGCGGCUGGAGUGCAGGAGGGGUAAGCGGAAUUCCUAGUGUAGCGGUGAAAUGCGUAGAUAUUAGGAGGAACACCGGUGGCGAAGGCGGCUUACUGGACUGUAACUGACGUUGAGGCUCGAAAGCGUGGGGAGCAAACAGGAUUAGAUACCCUGGUAGUCCACGCCGUANACGAUGAUUACUAGGUGUCGGGGGNCCAAGGUCCUCCGGUGCCGGCGCAAACGCAUUAAGUAAUCCACCUGGGGAGUACGUUCGCAAGAAUGAAACUCA
Molecule: ribosomal RNA, 834 nt
Filed under: uncultured bacterium
Lineage: Bacteria
Description: bacterial SSU rRNA
Rfam family: Bacterial small subunit ribosomal RNA
Source: RNAcentral